CCUUAAUGAGAUCGGUUGUUAAUUCGGAAGAAACUAGCGAUUUCAAAAUACCUACUAAUUUCAAACCUGUCAGCUAUGAACUGAACGUGACCACGCACUUGGAGGAUAAAUUCAUAUUUGAAGGAGUAGUUUGUAUUCGUAUGACAUGCGUAGGAGCUACCGAUACCAUAGUGUUGCAUUCAACCAGUUG
RNAcentral lists this unclassified non-coding RNA (190 nucleotides) under Acyrthosiphon pisum (pea aphid). RNAcentral's name for it is "aminopeptidase N-like, transcript variant X1". The record is from RNAcentral. Lineage: Eukaryota; Metazoa; Arthropoda; Insecta; Hemiptera; Aphididae.